RNAcentral lists this transfer RNA (72 nucleotides) under Phrynosoma platyrhinos (Desert horned lizard). RNAcentral describes it as "tRNA-OTHER". It matches the Rfam family "tRNA". From Rfam's summary of the family: Transfer RNA (tRNA) molecules are approximately 80 nucleotides in length. Their secondary structure includes four short double-helical elements and three loops (D, anti-codon, and T loops). The record is from RNAcentral. Lineage: Eukaryota; Metazoa; Chordata; Lepidosauria; Squamata; Phrynosomatidae.
GCCAAUGUGGCAUAGUGGUUUGAGCCUUGGACUAGUACUCUGGAGACCAGGGUUCGAAUCCCUGCUUGGCCA